Long non-coding RNA from Mustela lutreola (European mink), 2420 nucleotides. RefSeq lists it as uncharacterized. The record is from RefSeq and is a predicted model, not a curated record. Lineage: Eukaryota; Metazoa; Chordata; Mammalia; Carnivora; Mustelidae. The transcript has 5 exons.
AUCUGCGGACACAGGGCACGCGCGCGUGGGAGGGGGCCGCGUGGCCGAGGCCGGAGGGCCGCGGAGGCCGCGCGGAGCGGGGUCCGGGCCGCAGCCGGGGAGCACAGGCGAGGGCGGCUGGCUCGGAGUCACAGAUCCUUGGAAUCUCGGGGGCUACGGGCAGAUGAAGUGUUGAGAACACUGACUGGGGGGCGAGGCGACAGAGCCAAGCGGCCAGUCCGGAAAGCCCACUGUCCCUGGAGUCAGGGGAGGCAGUGGACGAGGCCCAGGAAGCCCAGGAGGCUGAUCUUGUUCCCCGGGUGAGUGAAGUUGGACCAAGCGGUGUCAAUGCUGCUGGAGGCACAGCACUCAGCUUGGCUGACGUCGGUCUUCAGCACCAGGCUGCACGUGGCCUCUCGACCCUGCUGCAGCCAGCACACGCCACCUGUGCACCGCAGGGCCGUCACUGCCACACCAGGGGUGCCCUCCUGCACCACUCCCAACACCCAGCUCCCGGCCCUAGGGGCUGCAUACAGUUGGUGCUCAGUAACUGCAGAGGGAUGAUUGGCUCCCAAGCUGGGAAGGAGGGCCAGAGAGCUGCAGGGGUGCUCCCAUGCCAGCUCAGCUCUGGGUCCUUCUGGGAUUCCCUGUCUUCUCGGAGCUCCACCCCCCACACAACCCCAACUCUUCCCACCUUUUGUCGCUCCAGGCCCCCAGACCCAGGCCUGGCAUCCUGCCCAACCAGCCAAACGCCCAGAGCUGGACGUGUCAGGGUCAGUGGGCCCUGCAGCCGCCUCUCCGCCUCUGCCCUCUGUCUAGACAGCACCCGAGGGCACGCAGAGCCCCCCUCGCCUGGCAGCCCCCCCUUGCCUGGCCCGCCUCUUACUCACUCCAACUUGGGAACAUUCCCCUUGCAUGAGCUCACCAUCUCCCUGGGGACACGGCCUUCGGGGAGGGGGCUCAGCUCUCCCCUUCGAGCGGGGCUGGGGUGGGGCUGCUGGCUGGGGUGGACAGGCAGAGAGCCCUCAGUUUCUGCACUGUAAACGGGGGCAGGAGAGGCCACAGCCCCCAGCCCAGAGAGCUCACUGGUUCCCAGGCGCUGCGCUGAGCGCCCUACACGGACCCGCUCUGGGAGCUCAUCACCUUGGCACUCAUCUUACAAAACGAGAAACUGAGGCCAGGACUGGGGCUGUUCCUUGCCCAGCAUCCCCCAACAAGUGGCUGCUAUGGGACUCCAACAGCCCAACCUGGGGAAGAUAUGAGACCUCAGGUGGAAGUCCUGGGUCCAGCCACCCAGCCCCACCUCUCCGGGUGUUCAGGACUCAAGCGGUUCAGGUUCAAGUCCUGAGUUUGCCACUUUUAAGCUGGGUGACCCUGCACCUCAGUUUCCCCAUCUGGGAAAUGGGCAUAAUGAGCUACACGCACAGUUGGGCUAUCGUAUGCAUUCUCGGACGGUUAGACUCAGCACCCAAUAAAUGUCAGCAGUCAUUGGGACUACUCCUCUUGGCCAUUGUGAAAGAGCCACAUCUGCUGACCUCGUGGUGACCCUUCUUCAGGCCCUUUGGGGCUGGGGGAGGGGAGCCCCAAGCCCUCCCAGACUGAACCUGAGGAGGCCUCCCAUCACCGGCUGCCACUAACGCCGCGCCCCCCGCCCCCCCCCCCCGACAUCUCCCCCAAGGCCCGCAUUCCGGGGCAGGCCCACGUGGGUGGCCCACCCCGCCCGCCCCUUCCGGCCGCCCCACUCACCGGGCGCGGGGUCCCCCGAGCCCACGGAGCCCACGAAGCCCACGGCCCAAGCCAGGGCCCCCCAGGGCAGUGGCCACAGUGGCCCCGGCGUCCCGGGACGCAUGGCGGACGCAGAGACGGCGGCGGCCCCCGCGUCGGACGCGCGGGCGGGCGGCUGGGAGGGCGGCGGCACCGACUUCCCAGCGCGCGGCGGCCGGGCGCUCCCUAUAAAGGUCCUGUGCUCCUUGUAUCGGGAGCCCUCGGCCUCCGGGACUCCCAGCCUUUCCACAAUUUGUGACAGUGACGCCAGACAUCAGCAUGGUCCCGGAAGGAACUGAAUGCACUGGGGGUCAGACAGAGAUCACAAGGAGGCAGAGAGAGAGAGGGGGAAGCAGGCUCCCAGCUGAGCAGAGAACCUGAUAUGGGGCUCGAUCCCAGGACCCUGGGAUCAUGACCCGAGCCGAAGGCAGAGGCUUUAACCCGCUGAGCCACCCAGGCGCCCCCAAGCCUGCGGUUUGUAAGGGCCGGAAAAACAAAAUACAUAGACGAACAAGUUAAUAGAUAACUUUGAAGAGUGGCAGUGCUUUCAGGAACAUAAAAAGGAUGAGAGCGAUGGGGUCUUUCAAGGGCAGUGACCUCCUGUUGCUGCAUCACCCCUCCCCGCCCCCGGCCCCAGGUGUGGAAGCCAAAGAUUCCAGACCUCCCACAUGCCUGCG